AACGAACGCUGGCGGCAUGCCUAACACAUGCAAGUCGAACGAAGCCUUCGGGCUUAGUGGCGCACGGGUGCGUAACGCGUGGGAAUCUGCCCUUGGGUUCGGAAUAACAGUUAGAAAUGACUGCUAAUACCGAAUGAUGUCUUCGGACCAAAGAUUUAUCGCCCAAGGAUGAGCCCGCGUCGGAUUAGCUAGUUGGUGAGGUAAAGGCUCACCAAGGCGACGAUCCGUAGCUGGUCUGAGAGGAUGAUCAGCCACACUGGGACUGAGACACGGCCCAGACUCCUACGGGAGGCAGCAGUGGGGAAUCUUAGACAAUGGGCGCAAGCCUGAUCUAGCCAUGCCGCGUGAGCGAUGAAGGCCUUAGGGUUGUAAAGCUCUUUCGUGGGGGGAAGAUAAUGACGGUACCCCAAGAAGAAGCCCCCGGCUAAACUCCGUGCCAGCAGCCGCGGUAAU
This 453-nucleotide ribosomal RNA is filed under the name uncultured bacterium. Its description in RNAcentral is "bacterial SSU rRNA". It matches the Rfam family "Bacterial small subunit ribosomal RNA", at positions 29 to 524 of the family's 1533-position model. The record is from RNAcentral.